AGCGAACGCUGGCGGCAGGCUUAACACAUGCAAGUCGAACGGGCAUAGCAAUAUGUCAGUGGCAGACGGGUGAGUAACGCGUGGGAACGUACCUUUUGGUUCGGAACAACACAGGGAAACUUGUGCUAAUACCGGAUAAGACCUUACGGGGAAAGACUUCUGGCCGAAAGAGCGGCCCGCGUCUGAUUAGCUAGUUGGUAGGGUAAUGGCCUACCAAGGCGACGAUCAGUAGCUGGUCUGAGAGGAUGAUCAGCCACAUUGGGACUGAGACACGGCCCAAACUCCUACGGGAGGCAGCAGUGGGGAAUAUUGGACAAUGGGCGAAAGCCUGAUCCAGCCAUGCCGCGUGAGUGAUGAAGUCCCUAGGGUUGUAAAGCUCUUUUGUGCGGGAAGAUAAUGACGGUACCGCAAGAAUAAGCCCCGGCUAACUUCGUG
RNAcentral lists this ribosomal RNA (435 nucleotides) under uncultured bacterium. RNAcentral describes it as "partial 16S ribosomal RNA". It matches the Rfam family "Bacterial small subunit ribosomal RNA", at positions 29 to 507 of the family's 1533-position model. The record is from RNAcentral.